Molecule: ribosomal RNA, 253 nt
Filed under: uncultured bacterium
Lineage: Bacteria
Description: partial 16S ribosomal RNA
Rfam family: Bacterial small subunit ribosomal RNA
Source: RNAcentral
UACGGAGGAGGCAAGCGUUAUCCGGAAUGAUUGGGCGUAAAGCGUCCGUAGGUGGCCAUUCAAGUCUGCUGUCAAAUCCUGAGGCUCAACCUCAGAUCGGCGGUGGAAACUGAAUAGCUAGAGUAUAGUAGGGGUAGAGGGGAUUCCUAGUGUAGCGGUGAAAUGCGUAGAGAUUAGGAAGAACACCAGUGGCGAAGGCGCUCUACUGGGCCGCAACUGACGCUGAGGGACGAAAGCUAGGGGAGCGAAAGGG